Long non-coding RNA from Loxodonta africana (African savanna elephant), 2082 nucleotides. RefSeq lists it as uncharacterized. Lineage: Eukaryota; Metazoa; Chordata; Mammalia; Proboscidea; Elephantidae. The record is from RefSeq and is a predicted model, not a curated record. The transcript has 4 exons.
UGAUAUCCUUUUCCAGAAUCUGAUCCCUCCGAAGUAUGUGAGAUGAAAUUUUGCCAUCCCGGCAUCCUAGGAGCUUUCUGAUUGUAUUUCUUCCAAGACAGACUUGUUCAUUCUUCUGGAAGGCCAUGGUAUAUAGUCAGCGCUCUUCACCAACACCGUAAUUCAAAGGCAUCAAUUCUUCUUUGAUCUUCUUUAUUCCUUGUCCAGCUUUCACAGGCAGGUGCGUCUAUUGAAAAUACCAUGACUUAGGUCAGACGCACUUCAGUUUUCAAAGUGACAUCUUUGCUUUUUAACAGUUUCAAGAAUACUUUUGCAGCAGAUUUCCCCAAUGCAAUAUGUUCUUUGAUUUCCUAACUGCUGCUUCCAUGGUUGUUUAUUGAGGAUCCAAAUAAAAUGAAAUCCUUGACAACUUCAAUAUUUUCUCCAUUUGUGAUGAUAUUGCAUAUUGGUCCAGUUGUGAGGAGUUCCGUUUUUUUCAUGUUGAAGUGCAAUCCAUACCGAAGGCUGUGGUCUUUGAUCUUCAUCAGUAAGUGCUUCAAGUCCUCUUCACUUUCGGCAAGCAAGGCUGUGUCAUCUGUGUAAUGCAGGUUGUUCAGGAGUCUUCCUCCGAUGCUGAUACCAUAUUUUUCUUCAUAUAGUUCAGCUUCUCGGGUUAUAUAGAUUGAUUGAGUAUGAUGAAAGGCUACAACGCAGAUUCGCACAAUAAUGAAACACUGCCCUGUCCUGCAUCACCCUCAGAAUCCUUGCAUGCUUGAGCCCACGUUUGCAGGCACUGUAUCAGUCCAUCUCAUUGAGGAUCUUCCUCUCUUUGUUUCUUAUGUCUCAUUAAUUCUCAGGUCAAUUAAUCUGACGUUGACUGUGAGACAAAGUAGAAGUCAACCUCUGAGUAGAAUAUUUACAUUUGUAAGCCCCCUGCAAGUCUAUUUAUCAUUUUUUUUGCAUGUUAAAAUUUUUUUGAUGGUAUUGCUUUUUAGUAUUAAGGGUUCUAAGUACUGGUAAAAAAAUGAUGUUUGAAGUUUUGUAUAAUUCCAUUGUCACAUGUAUUUUAUUGCUACAGUAACUCUAGAGUGCAGACUUAUUUUUAAUUGUAGUAGCAUUGUGUGUAGAAAUGGAGGGAACGUGCUGAACGAAAUGAGAAUUCAGAAAUGAAUAAUCCAUAGAAGUGAUAUCAAACUUUGCCAUGAAGCUGGGGUUUCAAUAAGUUAUAUAACAGAAAAAGUAAAAAAGGAAUCUAUAUCCACACUCUCUUUCCCUCGUGCAAUCAUUCUCACAGUGGCUGCAUUUCUUCCCAGCCAAAUCCUAUACUUCUGUGCUUUUUUGUACAGAUGGUGGAGAUGCUGAGCAAUCAGCAGGGAAGCCUAUAUUAUAUGGAAAAUGGGAAGAAUAAUUAAGAGAGAGUAUAAAAGAGUCAGAGGAGAGAGAGAAUGAAUCUGGGUUUGGAAGAGACUAUUUGGAGUUGGAAGUCGAGAUAAGAUGGAAGCUUCUGGUAGCAGCUUUGGUACAUGAGGAUUUCGAGAAGGCUGAAGGCUGUUCAGCUCUCAGGAUUCUGCUCUGGUUCAACCUUAGCACCUCCUCUUAUUUGUCAAGCACUGACUACAGGAGGCAGCGCUGCUGAGUGAGGAAGGCCCUGACUUGGAAUCAGACAAGGUGGGAAUUUCUAUGUCGUGUGCCACAGAGACUCCCAGCAAGGACCUUGUUUGGAGGUUGUUCCCAAAAAACUACCAGUUUGUUCUGGUCUUUCACUUUGCCAUUGAGGAGAUCAACAAGAACCCCUACCUGCUCCCCAACCUGUCCUUGGGUUUUGACCUCUACAAUGCCGUUCCCAGGGAGCACAGAACCUUAGAGAGUGCCCUGUUUUGGCUCUCGGGAGGGAGGCAGAUUCUCCCUAAUCACAACUGCCAGAGACAGAGCAAAUCUGUCGCUAGCAUUAUGGAAAGCAAAUCAGCAUCCUCUGCAGAGGUUGGAACACUGCUGGAGCUCUACAAAAGCCCACAGGUCAGUGGAUUGUGAGCUCUGGAAACAUAAGAUCAGGUUGUGUCAAUGGCAUUCCCUGCUGUCCGAUCAAGGGAAAGGAGGAAGGAG